Molecule: long non-coding RNA, 250 nt
Filed under: Lathyrus oleraceus (garden pea)
Lineage: Eukaryota; Viridiplantae; Streptophyta; Magnoliopsida; Fabales; Fabaceae
Description: Pisum sativum (pea) long non-coding RNA (PSAT_LNC027360)
Source: RNAcentral
UAUAAUGGAAAAAACCACACAAUUUUUGGAUCAUUAUUUAAUUUGUUAUGAUUUUUGAAAGUUAGAAAAAAAAUAAAAAAACAUGAAGGAACAUUGAUGAACAUGUGGAAAGAAAAUCAAAGAAACAUAUAAACAUUGCUACAGCCUGGGAUCGAACACGCCCCCUUUUUGAAUGAGCAUGGCGCGCUUGCAUGGCUAUUACAUGCAACCAAUGAGAGCGCUGCCCUAGCGCCUAAGGCCACGCUUUUAC